This is a long non-coding RNA of Symphalangus syndactylus (siamang), 1145 nucleotides long. RefSeq lists it as uncharacterized. The record is from RefSeq and is a predicted model, not a curated record. NCBI's taxonomy places the organism in Eukaryota, Metazoa, Chordata, Mammalia, Primates, Hylobatidae.
GCAAUGUUCAAUCCAUAAGGCUUUGUUUGCACUUCUUGUGAUAUUCAGGAAAUAGUUUGAUGUAAUGCAGAGCUGCCAGUGACAGACAAUACAGCACAUUACCCAGGCUGACAACAGCUACUGGCUUGUGCUUAAAUACCAUUUCAUUCUGACUGAGGUCAUCAUCUUUGAGCUCCUGCAAUGAGGAGCUCAAUAGGGUGGGGGAUGCUGUCCUUUGCCUCAGGUGCUCUUUGGGGGCUUUAAUAAAAGAGGGUCAGAGCCGCCGAUGGGGUCUAGGAGACCCUAAGAGUUCUGACGGUCAGGCUGAGAAUUGUGUCCUCAGGGAGUGGGAGCUGCUGCAGGUCUGAGCACGAAGGGCUCCAGCACCAGGACAGGAGCCUCCAGCCACCUCCACCUUGCAGCCCCUGAAGCCUCAGCUGAUGGAUCCAGGGCUGGGUACUGAGCCGUACUGGACCAGUGGGCCCCCUCCUGGGAUCGCUGGACUUGGAGCAGAAGAGUCCCUCCAGGGCUGAAGAUUGGACACAGAAAACUUGGGAACUGUCAACUGCCCUGUUAUUCACCUCGUGAAAAAAGCUGGAUUUCAAUGACAGCGAAUGGAGCUGACAAUUCCCAGAAACUGGAAUUGGGAUGGUGAGAUUUUAGUUCAGCCCCCGGCGGUCUCAUGCGUGGAGGUGAUAAGGUUGAACUUUGAGGUGUCUUCAGAGGGAGAGAAAUACCCUCCGCAGGCAGAGCUUCCCGGGUUCCAGGCCCUUCCGGACGUCAACACAGGUCCAGCUGCCCCUGGGCUCCUCCGCACACCCUGGGUGCAAGAAUAAAUCCUUCUCGGGCCGGGCGCGGUGGCUCACGCUUGUAAUCCCAGCACUUUGGGAGGCCGAGGCGGGCGGAUCACGAGGUCAGGAGAUCGAGACAACGGUGAAACCCCGUCUCUACUAAAAAUACAAAAAAUUAGCCGGGCGUGGUGGCGGGCGCCUGUAGUCCCAGCUACUCGGAGAGGCUGAGGCAGGAGAAUGGCAUGAACCCGAGAGGCGGAGCUUGCAGUGAGCCGACAUUGCGCCACUGCACUCCAGCCUGGGCGACAGAGCGAGACUCCGUCUCAAAAAAAAAAAAAAAAAAAAAAGAAUAAAUCCUUCUCCUCUCUGCCGCCA